RNAcentral lists this ribosomal RNA (258 nucleotides) under uncultured bacterium. RNAcentral's name for it is "partial 16S ribosomal RNA". It matches the Rfam family "Bacterial small subunit ribosomal RNA", at positions 793 to 1055 of the family's 1533-position model. The record is from RNAcentral.
GUCCACACCCUAAACGAUGAUAACUCGAUGUUGGCGAUACACAGUCAGCGUCUAAGCGAAAGCAUUAAGUUAUCCACCUGGGAAGUACGACCGCAAGGUUGAAACUCAAAGGAAUUGACGGGGGCCCGCACAAGCGGAGGAGCAUGUGGUUUAAUUCGAUGAUACGCGAGGAACCUUACCUGGGCUUGAAAGUUAGUGACCGUCCCUGAAAGGGGACUUUCAGCAAUGACACGAAACUAGGUGCUGCAUGGCUGUCGU